This is a long non-coding RNA of Mauremys reevesii (Reeves's turtle), 326 nucleotides long. RefSeq lists it as uncharacterized. The transcript is spliced from 3 exons. The record is from RefSeq and is a predicted model, not a curated record. NCBI's taxonomy places the organism in Eukaryota, Metazoa, Chordata, Testudines, Geoemydidae.
CAAAUUUGAAUUCAAAGCUCUGUUCCAUGGAAAGAAGAAAUGGCCUCUACCAUAGGGCAUGCAAUGUGGCACCAAUUAGUGGGGCUCUUGUGGAAGAAAAUGACCACAAUCUUCUGAAUCCUGACUCUAGAGAAUUAGGAAGAGGCAGGUGCGGUGAUGAAUACGAAGGAACAAAAUAAUCAAACAAACAAGUUUACUAAGAAGACAUUAAGGAAUGCAUUUACUGGAGUGAAGCAGAGAAAGUGACCACGUCAGCCUUCUGGGAUGAAGAAGAGGAUGGAUUCUGGAGUGCCGACACUGUCUGAGGAUUUGUGAAUGUGAAAGCC